Molecule: ribosomal RNA, 253 nt
Filed under: uncultured bacterium
Lineage: Bacteria
Description: partial 16S ribosomal RNA
Rfam family: Bacterial small subunit ribosomal RNA
Source: RNAcentral
UACGGAGGGGGCAAGCGUUAUUCGGAAUCAUUGGGCGUAAAGGGCGUGUAGGCGGCUAUGUUUGUCUCAUGUGAAAGCCCUCGGCUCAACCGGGGAACUGCAUGGGAAACGGCAUGGCUUGAGUCCGGGAGAGGAUAGUGGAAUUCCCAGUGUAGCGGUGAAAUGCGUAGAUAUUGGGAGGAACACCAGUGGCGAAGGCGGCUUCCUGGUCCAGCACCGACGUUCAGGCACGAAAGCGUGGGGAGCAAACAGG